CGCGUAGGCGGCCAACUUUGUCAGGCGUGAAAGCCCUGGGCUCAACCCAGGAAUUGCGCUUGGGACGGGUUGGCUUGAGCUCGGGAGAGGAGAGUGGAAUUCCCAGUGUAGAGGUGAAAUUCGUAGAUAUUGGGAAGAACACCGGUGGCGAAGGCGGCUCUCUGGACCGAUACUGACGCUGAGGCGCGAAAGCGUGGGGAGCAAACAGGAUUAGAUACCCUGGUAGUCCACGCCGUAAACGAUGUGUGCUAGACGUUGGGGAGCCUAGCUCUUCGGUGUCGCAGCUAACGCGGUAAGCACACCGCCUGGGGAGUACGGCCGCAAGGUUAAA
Molecule: ribosomal RNA, 331 nt
Filed under: uncultured bacterium
Lineage: Bacteria
Description: bacterial SSU rRNA
Rfam family: Bacterial small subunit ribosomal RNA
Source: RNAcentral